UGGUUGCAUAGCCGCAAUUGAUGGGACACACAUACAUGUUGUCGUGCCAGCUGAAGAUAUUGCCAACCAUGUAGGAAGGAUCCGCACAUGACACAAGGAUAUUCAAAGACACGUUGAUAACUUAUUCAGAAAACUUCCCACAUCCACCUCCAGGGAGGUACUAUUUGGUUGACUCUGGUUAUUCGAAUCAGACCGGAAAUCUUGCUCCAUA
Brachypodium distachyon (stiff brome) is the source of this 211-nucleotide long non-coding RNA. RefSeq lists it as uncharacterized. The record is from RefSeq and is a predicted model, not a curated record. Lineage: Eukaryota; Viridiplantae; Streptophyta; Magnoliopsida; Poales; Poaceae. The transcript is spliced from 3 exons.